This is a long non-coding RNA of Symphalangus syndactylus (siamang), 1729 nucleotides long. RefSeq lists it as uncharacterized. Lineage: Eukaryota; Metazoa; Chordata; Mammalia; Primates; Hylobatidae. The record is from RefSeq and is a predicted model, not a curated record.
CAGAGACCAGUGGCUGCGGAUGAACUUGGGCAAGCCCAGCUUUGGUAAAGCCAAUCCUCCUUUGGCGAGAACAGCAAGAAGCUGAUUGGCUGCAGGCUGUGACGCUAAAAGCUGCUUAUGGAGAACUAAGCAACCUUUGUUGAGCACCUACUAGGUGCCAGACACUACGCAUGCCUGCCUUAAAUCCUGGGGGCAGGCAGACUGAUCCCUUCUUAACAGUUGAGGAGCCUGAGGCUUGGAGGCGGCAGUGCCUGACUUCCUCACCAAGGAAAACCUGUUGUCCCAUGAGCCCGGGAUCUGCCUGUGUUGGGAUGCAUGCCUGAGGGCAUGCUGCAUACACAAGUGACCUGGGGAUGUGUUGUUUGAUUAGAUGCUCCUCUUUGUAGUUUUGCCUAAAACAAAAAGUACAUGGCUUUUUAAGCUAUUGACAACUUUAUUUUUUGCACUUAUUAUAAGAUAUCAUGUUCAUUGUAGAACAUCUAAAAAAUACAGAUAAGCAAAAAGAAAAAAAAUCAAAAUCUCCCCUAGUCCCAGCCUACAGAGAUGGCCACUGUCAAUGUUUGGGCAUAUAUUUUCAUACAUUUAAUAAUAUAUAGUGGCCGAGCGCAGAGCGGUUUGGUCGUUCGUUGGGCUGUGUCGGUUCUUCGCUCAGUCGGCUGCGGCUCUUCCUCGGGCAGCGGAAGCGGCGCGGCGGUCGGAGAAGUGGCCUAAAACUUCGGCGUUGGGUGAAAGAAAAUGGCCUGAACCAAGCAGACUGCUGUAAAUCCACCACAGCCCCCCCCGCAAACAGCUGGCCACGAAAGUCGCCAGGAAAAGCGCCACCUCUACCGGCGGGGUGAAGAAGCCUCAUCGCUACAGGCCCGGGACCCUGGCGCUUCGAGAGAUUCGUCGUUAUCAGAAGUCGACCGAGCUGCUCAUCCGGAAGCUGCUCUUCCAGAGGUUGGUGAGGGAGAUCGCGCGGGAUUUCAAAACCGACCUGAGGUUUCAGAGCGCAGCCAUCGGUGCGCUGCCGGAGGCUAGCGAAGCGUACGUGGUGGGUCUGUUCGAAGAUACCAACCUGUGUGCCCUCCACGCUAAGAGAGUCACCAUCAUGCCCAAAGACAUCCAGUUGGCUCGCCGGAUACGGGGAGAGAGAGCUUAAGUGAAGGCAGUUUUUAUGGCGUUUUGUAGUAAAUUCUGUAAAACACUUUGGUUUAAUUUGUGACUUUUUUUGUAAGAAAUUGUUUUGUAAGAAAGUGUUUAUAUAAUAUGUUGCAUUUGUACUUAAGUCAUUCCAUCUUUCACUCAGGAUGAAUGCGAAAGUGACUGUUCACAGACCUCAGUGAUGUGAGCACUGUUGCUCAGGAGCGACAAGUUGCUAAUAUGCAGAAGGGAUGGGUGAUAUUUCUUGCUUCUCAUGAUGCAUGUUUCUGUAUGUUAAGGAUUUGUUGGGUAGCUAUUAAGGUACUAGAGUUGAUAAAUGUGUACUGAGUCCUUUUGCAAUAAAACUGGUUAUGACUUGAUCCAAGUGUUUAACAAUUGGGGCUAAGUCUGACCAUACAUCACUGUGAUAGAAUGUGGGCUUUUUCAAGGGUGAAGAUACAAGUCUUAACCACAGUGUAACUUACAGUUUCCUUUAAAAAAAAAAAAAGUAAACCUGGCAGCUAUAGAAUACACUAUGUGCAUUUAUAAUAGCUAUUUUAUAUAUUGUAGUGUCAACAUUUUUAAAUUAAAUGUUUUACAUUCACAA